Molecule: ribosomal RNA, 473 nt
Filed under: uncultured bacterium
Lineage: Bacteria
Description: SSU rRNA
Rfam family: Bacterial small subunit ribosomal RNA
Source: RNAcentral
AGGACGAACGCUGGCGGCGUGCUUAACACAUGCAAGUCGAACGGAAAGGCCCUUCGGGGUACUCGAGUGGCGAACGGGUGAGUAACACGUGGGUGAUCUGCCCCGCACUUUGGGAUAAGCCUGGGAAACUGGGUCUAAAUACCGAAUAGGACCAUGGCAUGCAUGUGCUGUGGUGGAAAGCUUUUGCGGUGUGGGAUGGGCCCGCGGCCUAUCAGCUUGUUGGUGGGGUUAAGGCCUACCAAGGCGACGACGGGUAGCCGGCCUGAGAGGGUGUCCGGCCACACUGGGACUGAGAUACGGCCCAGACUCCUACGGGAGGCAGCAGUGGGGAAUAUUGCACAAUGGGCGCAAGCCUGAUGCAGCGACGCCGCGUGGGGAUGACGGCCUUCGGGUUGUAAACCCUUCAGUAGGGACGAAGCGCAAGUGACGGUACCUACAGAAGAAGCACCGGCCAACUACGCGCCAGCAGCCGC